GACGAACGCUGGCGGCGUGCUUAACACAUGCAAGUCGAACGGAAAGGCCCUGCUUUUGUGGGGUGCUCGAGUGGCGAACGGGUGAGUAACACGUGAGUAACCUGCCCUUGACUUUGGGAUAACUUCAGGAAACUGGGGCUAAUACCGGAUAGGAGCUCCUGCUGCAUGGUGGGGGUUGGAAAGUUUCGGCGGUUGGGGAUGGACUCGCGGCUUAUCAGCUUGUUGGUGGGGUAGUGGCUUACCAAGGCUUCGACGGGUAGCCGGCCUGAGAGGGUGACCGGCCACAUUGGGACUGAGAUACGGCCCAGACUCCUACGGGAGGCAGCAGUGGGGAAUAUUGCACAAUGGGCGGAAGCCUGAUGCAGCAACGCCGCGUGCGGGAUGACGGCCUUCGGGCUGUAAACCGCUUUCGCCUGUGACGAAGCGUGAGUGACGGUAAUGGGUAAAGAAGCACCGGCUAACUACGUG
This 468-nucleotide ribosomal RNA is filed under the name uncultured bacterium. RNAcentral's name for it is "partial 16S ribosomal RNA". It matches the Rfam family "Bacterial small subunit ribosomal RNA", at positions 28 to 507 of the family's 1533-position model. The record is from RNAcentral.